AUGGACCCGCGGCGCACUAGCUAGUUGGUGAGGUAACGGCUCACCAAGGCGACGAUGCGUAGCCGACCUGAGAGGGUGAUCGGCCACACUGGGACUGAGACACGGCCCAGACUCCUACGGGAGGCAGCAGUAGGGAAUCUUCCGCAAUGGACGAAAGUCUGACGGAGCAACGCCGCGUGAGUGAUGAAGGUUUUCGGAUCGUAAAGCUCUGUUGUUAGGGAAGAACAAGUGCCGUUCAAAUAGGGCGGCACCUUGACGGUACCUAACCAGAAAGCCACGGCUAACUACGUGCCAGCAGCCGCGGUAAUACGUAGGUGGCAAGCGUUGUCCGGAAUUAUUGGGCGUAAAGGGCUCGCAGGCGGUUUCUUAAGUCUGAUGUGAAAGCCCCCGGCUCAACCGGGGAGGGUCAUUGGAAACUGGGGAACUUGAGUGCAGAAGAGGAGAGUGGAAUUCCACGUGUAGCGGUGAAAUGCGUAGAGAUGUGGAGGAACACCAGUGGCGAAGGCGACUCUCUGGUCUGUAACUGACGCUGAGGACCGAAAGCGUGGCGAGCGAACAGGAUUAGAUACCCUGGUAGUCCACGCCGUAUACGAUGAGUGCUAAGUGU
Molecule: ribosomal RNA, 607 nt
Filed under: Bacillus subtilis
Lineage: Bacteria; Bacillati; Bacillota; Bacilli; Caryophanales; Bacillaceae
Description: bacterial SSU rRNA
Rfam family: Bacterial small subunit ribosomal RNA
Source: RNAcentral